Molecule: long non-coding RNA, 1445 nt
Organism: Pygocentrus nattereri (red-bellied piranha)
Lineage: Eukaryota; Metazoa; Chordata; Actinopteri; Characiformes; Serrasalmidae
Exons: 5
Source: RefSeq, a predicted model, not a curated record
GGACGUAUUUCUGGCGCUUUCUAGACCAAAAUGAAGACGAAGACCCAGUAUUUUACAACCAGCCCAGAAGACUCCAAAGUACCUUGAGAGACGUUCAUGUCGAAAUCCAAUGCAGUGGCGUUACUGUAAAUUCGCUGCAGAGCAAGACAUCCUGUUCAAGCACUACAGACUUCAUCAUUGGCAGACAGGGCAAAGAAACAGACAUUUGUUUAUGUCCCUGUUCUCAAGACAUUGAAGAAUCUUUUGAGUAAGCCUGAAGUACUCGAGAAGACGUUUCCAAUCCAAGAGAGCACCCAAGGUCUUUACACAUCAUGUUUUGAUGACCACAAACUUGACGGCACAUAGAAGAUAUACUGUCCUCCGGGGUUUUCCGCUGUACAUGAGGGAGAGGCCUUCCAUUUCAAAGACCUUACUUGAUGCUGAAGCAUUGGAGGACCACACAAAGAACAUGAAAAUGGGAAUUCUUGAAGUGGUGAAGGAGAGUGCUGAUCCAUCGCGAUCACUGACCAGUGUGGUCAAUGUUGCAGUUGUGCUUGAAGAGGAGGUAGUAAUGGAUAACUUGCCUGACUACACUAAUGCCUUCAUUCUGCUCUUUGGACUUCUGUAUGCACUAAACAUAGAAUAUCCAAAAGACUUAAAAUACACAUUUGAAGUGGUCCAAAAAGUGUUCCUUCAUCUUGGAAACGAGUGCACAGCCAGAGUGCAGUCUCUAAAGAACAAGUUAGUGCACAUGUAAUCACUACACGCAUAAGCGUUAUUUUUUUUAUUUUUAAAUUUUUUUUGUGACUUACAACACACAAUGCGGUGCUUUUAUUUUAUGUUGUCCAUGUUCACCUCUGCUUGGAGCAGUUUGCUACUCAUUUAAGAGUACCCAUCUAAAAUGGCUGAGAUGACUUGGUUUGAUUCGGUUUUGUUCCACUUUUAAAAAAAAAAAAGACUGUUUUAGUUCUUGUCUUUGUCGUAAAUGCUGCAGUUUUUUUUAAAACAGCAUUGUCGUUGUUUCCUUCUUUGCUAGCUUCAAUGUUAAAUAUUCAUUCCACUUUUAGAAAUCACACACACUUUAUGUUCAGUUUUUCUGUUAGCGUAACCUUCUAAAACUUUUGUUCUCUAAAGUACAAGGUAUUGUACUAAUUUCUGCAUGAAUGUCACAGAUGUUUGACUGCUGUUCUGGCACUAGUGGCAACAUUUGUCACAAAUGUGUGUAUUUAAAGUAAGAGUUUGUUUUAUUACUACUUAUUUUUGUAAAGUUUUGCUACCUAUACCACUGAAAUGGACACACACAAGUGCAAUAAUGCUGCUAUAAAGGAACCAUUUAAUAUAUCUAUUAAAGUAAUUUGUUAGUUUUAAAGCAGCUUUAAUAUGCCUAGUAGAUGUUUUAUCACUGUUAACUAUAAAAAUCUGAUGUUUUUAAUAUUUUUGCAAAUAAAUGCAUUUGUUAAAAAGUA